UCUCUGGUGGCUCAGAGGUAGAGAAUCUGCCUGCAGUGCAGGAGGCCUGGGUUUGAUCCCUGGGUUGGGAA
RNAcentral lists this transfer RNA (71 nucleotides) under Bos taurus (domestic cattle). It matches the Rfam family "tRNA". Rfam says of the family: Transfer RNA (tRNA) molecules are approximately 80 nucleotides in length. Their secondary structure includes four short double-helical elements and three loops (D, anti-codon, and T loops). Lineage: Eukaryota; Metazoa; Chordata; Mammalia; Artiodactyla; Bovidae. RNAcentral also lists the same sequence under 5 other names. The record is from Rfam by way of RNAcentral.